UUUUUUGGUAUCUUCCGCUCUGGGGCCGACUUAAAGCAUAGGUAGAGCUUCGUGAUGUCACCGCUGCUGUUUUCUAGCAGCGAGACCCAGCAGAGAGGCAGGAGCGGUGACAUCACAAAGCUCCAUCAAUGCUCCAAGUAGGCCCCAGAACGGAAGAUACAGCAGAAGAUAGCAUGUGAACCGGACCACGGAGCUGGAUCAGCCGUAUUAUACAGUUCAUAUUUCUAGCUCAGCGUUACAGGCAACCUAGCUAUGUUGUUCAAAGAUAUGUUGCCUAAAUCUCCCGGAUUACAGAACAAAGAGAAGACGGAGAGAAGGAGAUGUAGGAGCUGACAUUUGUGUUUCUGGAGGAAAAUCUCAUCAAGUGCUUUAAUCCACAUGAUACUUUCUAUAGAUGGGAAUAUCAAAUACUAAAACUUCAUAAAAGCCAAGACGGUGACAACUCAACAAAGGGAGACAGACAGCGGAAUGGCAAUUUAUGUGGAAGCCACAAACAGAAUGGAUGGCUUUGUGGGUUGUGUUGCAUAUCAUGUAAAAGAUUAGAUGUGAUAGGAUAUUUAUUAAACAUAUUACCGUAAACCCAAUUCCACAGCAGAGUACUAUACAAUAAAGUAGUAGGUUAGUGAAAAGGAUCAUCAUACUGUGUGUU
Molecule: long non-coding RNA, 649 nt
Organism: Hyla sarda
Lineage: Eukaryota; Metazoa; Chordata; Amphibia; Anura; Hylidae
Exons: 3
Source: RefSeq, a predicted model, not a curated record